RNAcentral lists this ribosomal RNA (508 nucleotides) under uncultured bacterium. RNAcentral describes it as "partial 16S ribosomal RNA". It matches the Rfam family "Bacterial small subunit ribosomal RNA", at positions 30 to 523 of the family's 1533-position model. The record is from RNAcentral.
AUUGAACGCUGGCGGCAUGCCUUACACAUGCAAGUCGAACGGCAGCGGGGGAGAAGCUUGCUUUUCCUGCCGGCGAGUGGCGAACGGGUGAGUAAUACAUCGGAACGUGCCCUGUAGUGGGGGAUAACUAGUCGAAAGAUUAGCUAAUACCGCAUACGACCCGAGGGUGAAAGUGGGGGACCGCAAGGCCUCAUGCUAUAGGAGCGGCCGAUGUCUGAUUAGCUAGUUGGUGGGGUAAAGGCCUACCAAGGCGACGAUCAGUAGCUGGUCUGAGAGGACGAUCAGCCAAACUGGGACUGAGACACGGCCCAGACUCCUACGGGAGGCAGCAGUGGGGAAUUUUGGACAAUGGGCGAAAGCCUGAUCCAGCAAUGCCGCGUGUGUGAAGAAGGCCUUCGGGUUGUAAAGCACUUUUGUCCGGAAAGAAAUGGCUCUGGUUAAUACCUGGGGUCGAUGACGGUACCGGAAGAAUAAGGACCGGCUAACUACGUGCCAGCAGCCGCGGUAA